RNAcentral lists this long non-coding RNA (220 nucleotides) under Gossypium barbadense (sea-island cotton). Its description in RNAcentral is "long non-coding RNA (GBAR_LNC000583)". The record is from RNAcentral. Lineage: Eukaryota; Viridiplantae; Streptophyta; Magnoliopsida; Malvales; Malvaceae.
AAUGACUAUGUUAUGUAUGAAAACCUUAAGAAUAGUUAAAUUACUUGAAUACCCCUAUGUAUGCAAAAUUACCAUUAUACCCCUAGGGUUACUUUUGACUGAAAAGCAUGACGAUCUGAUUCUGUAUGAUGUAUGCCAUGAUUAUAUAUUUGUUGCAUGGGGACUUGGGUUAUACUAUGGAGGAAGCAUCCUGGUGGCUGUGCCACAAUUAUCUGAUCUG